GAUGAACGCUGGCGGCGUGCCUAAUACAUGCAAGUCGAGCGAACAGACGAGGAGCUUGCUCCUCUGACGUUAGCGGCGGACGGGUGAGUAACACGUGUAUAACCUACCUAUAAGACUGGGAUAACUUCGGGAAACCGGAGCUAAUACCGGAUAAUAUAUUGAACCGCAUUGUUCAAUAGUGAAAGUCGGUUUUUCUGUCACUUAUAGAUGGAUCCGCGCCGCAUUAGCUAGUUGGUAAGGUAACGGCUUACCAAGGCAACGAUGCGUAGCCGACGUGAGAGGGUGAUAGGCCACACUAGAAGUGAGACACGGUCCAGAAUCCUACGGGAGGCAGCAGACGGGAAUCUUACGCAAUGGGCGAAAGUAUGACGGAGCAACGCGGCGUGAGUGAUGAAGGUCUUCGGAUCGUAAAACUCUGUUAUUAGGGAAGAACAAAUGUGUAAGUAAAUAUGCACGUCUUGACGGUACCUAAUCAGAAAGCCACGGCUAACUACGUG
This 497-nucleotide ribosomal RNA is filed under the name uncultured bacterium. RNAcentral describes it as "partial 16S ribosomal RNA". It matches the Rfam family "Bacterial small subunit ribosomal RNA", at positions 28 to 507 of the family's 1533-position model. The record is from RNAcentral.